This 41-nucleotide ribosomal RNA is filed under the name Celosia argentea (silver cockscomb). Its description in RNAcentral is "partial 26S ribosomal RNA". The record is from RNAcentral. Lineage: Eukaryota; Viridiplantae; Streptophyta; Magnoliopsida; Caryophyllales; Amaranthaceae. RNAcentral also lists the same sequence under 1 other name.
UGCGACCCCAGGUCAGGCGGGAUUACCCGCUGAGUUUAAGC